This 347-nucleotide ribosomal RNA is filed under the name uncultured eukaryote. RNAcentral's name for it is "SSU rRNA". It matches the Rfam family "Eukaryotic small subunit ribosomal RNA", at positions 594 to 945 of the family's 1831-position model. The record is from RNAcentral.
AUAGCGUAUAUUAAAGUUGUUGCAGUUAAAAAGCUCGUAGUUGAACUUCAGACCUGGCCGGACGGUCUGCCUAACGGUUUGUACUGUCUGGCUGGGCCUUACCUCUUGGUGAGCCGGCGUGCCCUUUACUGGUGUGCGUCGGGGAACCAGGACUUUUACCUUGAGAAAAUUAGAGUGUUCAAAGCAGGCCUAUGCCCGAAUACAUUAGCAUGGAAUAAUAAAAUAGGACGUGCGGUUCUAUUUUGUUGGUUUCUAGAGUCGCCGUAAUGAUUAAUAGGGAUAGUUGGGGGCAUUGGUAUUGAGUCGCUAGAGGUGAAAUUCUUGGAUUGACUCAAGACCAACUAUUG